Molecule: ribosomal RNA, 490 nt
Filed under: uncultured bacterium
Lineage: Bacteria
Description: partial 16S ribosomal RNA
Rfam family: Bacterial small subunit ribosomal RNA
Source: RNAcentral
AUUGAACGCUGGCGGCAGGCCUAACACAUGCAAGUCGAACGGUAACAGGAAGAAGCUUGCUUCUUUGCUGACGAGUGGCGGACGGGUGAGUAAUGUCUGGGAAACUGCCUGAUGGAGGGGGAUAACUACUGGAAACGGUAGCUAAUACCGCAUAACGUCGCAAGCCCAAAGAGGGGGACCUUCGGGCCUCUUGCCAUCGGAUGUGCCCAGAUGGGAUUAGCUAGUAGGUGGGGUAACGGCUCACCUAGGCGACGAUCCCUAGCUGGUCUGAGAGAAUGACCAGCGACACUGGAACUGAGACACGGUCCAGACUCCUACGGGAGGCAGCAGUGGGGAAUAUGGCACAAUGGGCGCAAGCCUGAUGCAGCCAUGCCGCGUGUAUGAAGAAGGCCUUCGGGUUGUAAAGUACUUUCAGCGGGGAGGAAGGGAGUAAAGUUAAUACCUUGGCUCAUUGACGUUACCCGCAGAAGAAGCACCGGCUAACUACGUG